Long non-coding RNA from Solanum lycopersicum (tomato), 891 nucleotides. RefSeq lists it as uncharacterized. NCBI's taxonomy places the organism in Eukaryota, Viridiplantae, Streptophyta, Magnoliopsida, Solanales, Solanaceae. The record is from RefSeq and is a predicted model, not a curated record.
GAAGAGUAUAUGUGAGCUAUGUUGUAACGUCACGGGUAUAUGUGAGCCGUUUGUAUAACGGUAAGGGCAUAUAUGAGCCACUUUUAUAACGAGCGGUAUAUCAGCUCUAAAUGACAAAGUUGAGGGGUAUAUCACACCUUUUCCCUAUCCAAAAUUAUAUAUACACUUUUCUUUUCUAACGGUAGAAAUCUUGGGCUUGGAGACAACCCUUUAUUAAUUAAGGACAUUGAAGAUGCAUGGAUCAAAGAUUUGAAGGCUCAAACAAUCCUAACUCUUGUAACAGCAUCUCAACUUCAUUGUGCUUAAUGAGGAUAUGGGUUUUGGAACGGUCAAUGAAAUGUUUUAGCAGCAAUAAUUUUUUGAUGAUUGACGACUUGACCUACGAGCGAGUCGUAGAAUCUUCUAUGAGCCGUAGGUAUGAGUCGUGGUUUGGAGUGGUAAUUUCUCGAGCUAAGUGUGAAACAAAGAAACCUAACGACGAGCUGUAGUUGCUUCUGUUAGCUAUACAAUUCAGUCGUAGAAUGUUCAGAGAUGUUGAGUUUCGGUGAUUGAAUGACGAGUUGACAGGACGGGCCGUACAAAGAUCAACAGACUGUUGAUCAUACCGGUCGAUAAUGCUACUAAAGUGAAGGAAUAAAUAAUGAUCGACGGAGGCUAUCUACGAACCGUAGGAAGACCUACGAGUCGUAGGUCUCAAGCAUAGAAACAACUGCCCAAGCCGAAUGUCCUUACAAUUCCUUUUCCUACUACGUUUGUGAUUUGAUAUUUAUAAGUAUUGGUUGUAAUUUUUCUUUUUAUGGGUUGUUAGACGAUUUGAUACUUUUUAUAUUAGCCUUGAGAACUAACUUGCAAACAUUUUGAGCAUUUAAUUCUUAAAGUAUUGGUUUAUAA